Molecule: ribosomal RNA, 44 nt
Filed under: Stereophaedusa japonica
Lineage: Eukaryota; Metazoa; Mollusca; Gastropoda; Stylommatophora; Clausiliidae
Description: Phaedusa japonica partial 5.8S rRNA
Source: RNAcentral
AAAAAAAAAACCCAAAAAAGAAAUGGAAACAAAAAAUAACUUUG